UACAGAGGGUGCGAGCGUUAUUCGGAAUUACUGGGCGUAAAGCGUGCGUAGACGGUUUCGUAAGUCGGGUGUGAAAUCCCCGGGCUCAACCUGGGAACUGCAUUCGAAACUGCGAGGCUAGGGUACGGAAGAGGGAAGCGGAAUUUCUGGUGUAGCGGUGAAAUGCGUAGAUAUCAGAAGGAACAUCAGUGGCGAAAGCGGCUUCCUGGUCCAGUACCGACGUUCAGGCACGAAAGCGUGGGGAGCAAACAGG
Molecule: ribosomal RNA, 253 nt
Filed under: uncultured bacterium
Lineage: Bacteria
Description: partial 16S ribosomal RNA
Rfam family: Bacterial small subunit ribosomal RNA
Source: RNAcentral